This 73-nucleotide transfer RNA is filed under the name Trichonephila inaurata madagascariensis. It matches the Rfam family "tRNA". From Rfam's summary of the family: Transfer RNA (tRNA) molecules are approximately 80 nucleotides in length. Their secondary structure includes four short double-helical elements and three loops (D, anti-codon, and T loops). Lineage: Eukaryota; Metazoa; Arthropoda; Arachnida; Araneae; Nephilidae. The record is from Rfam by way of RNAcentral.
AUCCCUGUAGCGCAAUGGAUAGCGAGUUGGACUUCUAUUCCAAAGGUCGUAGGUUCGAAUCCCACCUGGGAUG